Molecule: ribosomal RNA, 253 nt
Filed under: uncultured bacterium
Lineage: Bacteria
Description: partial 16S ribosomal RNA
Rfam family: Bacterial small subunit ribosomal RNA
Source: RNAcentral
UACGAAGGGGGCUAGCGUUGCUCGGAAUGACUGGGCGUAAAGGGCUCGUAGGUGGCCAACUAAGUCAGACGUGAAAUCCCUCAGCUUAACUGGGGAACUGCGUCUGAUACUGGAUGGCUUGAGAUUGGGAGAGGGAUGCGGAAUUCCAGGUGUAGCGGUGAAAUGCGUAGAUAUCUGGAGGAACACCGGUGGCGAAGGCGGCAUCCUGGACCAACACUGACACUGAGGAGCGAAAGCCAGGGGAGCAAACGGG